RNAcentral lists this ribosomal RNA (525 nucleotides) under uncultured bacterium. Its description in RNAcentral is "bacterial SSU rRNA". It matches the Rfam family "Bacterial small subunit ribosomal RNA", at positions 8 to 526 of the family's 1533-position model. The record is from RNAcentral.
AGGGUUCGAUUAUGGCUCAGGAUGAACGCUAGCGGCAGGCCUAACACAUGCAAGUCGAGGGGUAACAGGGAGAAGCUUGCUUUUCCGCUGACGACCGGCGCACGGGUGCGUAACGCGUAUACAAUCUGCCUUAUACUGGGGUAUAGCCUUUAGAAAUGAAGAUUAAUCCCCCAUAGUCUCUUAGAGUGGCAUCAUUUUAGGAGUAAAGGUUACGGUAUAAGAUGAGUAUGCGUUCUAUUAGUUUGUUGGUGAGGUAACGGCUCACCAAGGCUACGAUAGAUAGGGGCCCUGAGAGGGGGAUCCCCCACACUGGUACUGAGACACGGACCAGACUCCUACGGGAGGCAGCAGUGAGGAAUAUUGGACAAUGGAGGCAACUCUGAUCCAGCCAUGCCGCGUGCAGGAAGACUGCCCUAUGGGUUGUAAACUGCUUUUAUAUAGGAAGAAACCUACUUACGUGUAAGUAGCUGACGGUACUAUAAGAAUAAGGAUCGGCUAACUCCGUGCCAGCCGCCGCGGUAAUUC